RNAcentral lists this long non-coding RNA (294 nucleotides) under Salmo trutta (river trout). Its description in RNAcentral is "lncRNA (ENSSTUG00000028508.1)". The record is from RNAcentral. Lineage: Eukaryota; Metazoa; Chordata; Actinopteri; Salmoniformes; Salmonidae.
GUCCUGAUGUGUUUUGUCAACAGCUGUUCAAGACAAAAGGGGAACCGAAGAGCCACCCUGAACAGGAUGCGCUGCCUACCAAACGUCUCAGAGAGACUCGUAUUUCACAGAAUGCUGAGUGUGAGGUUCCAGAGGUUCCAUCCACUUCCCCACCCAAGGAGGACCUGACAACCACACUGGCCCCUGCUCCCCAGGAGUCCCAGUCCCGUAAACGCCCUCUCAUAGUCAGGGUGUUACGAGCUAUCUCCAGAGCCGUCUCUAAACCAUUCAGAGGAGCUUUUGGGAAGAAGAAUU